AGUCGCCCUGGGCAGGCAGUGGAAGGUGGGGCCGUGCUGCCUCUGGUGCGCAGAGGCAGAGGCCGCCAUUGACCACCGAAUCGGCUUGGCUAGAACUCAAAGCCUUGUGCCUGGCGGUCAGUCCCUACCUCACCACGUUGACACAGACUGUGUGGCUUUCAGUGUACCUUUCCACGUAUUUUCCUGUCCUGUCAGAUGAGAAGAGGGAACAGUCUGAGAGAACCACGAAACUGCCAAACCCAGUGAGCCCGAAUAUUCCUUCAAGAUUUCAAGAAAGCCGACCUUGAGGACGGCCACGGGGCCAACUGCAGUAUGAACAAGUCGUUCUUGUAGUUGCACAGAUGGCCAUUGACAAAAACAGCCCUGCUUGGGUGACUCCUGAGCCCUGAUACCCGAAUGAGUAUGAUCAACCGGUGAUGGACCUGGAUCCGGCUGUGGGAGUGUCCUGAUGAGCCCUGGGCCAGCGGAGCAAAAUCCCCCUAUUCUCCUGAAUUUAAUGGAGCAGAGGAGCUGAGUGUUUGGAAAUAUGAAGCACCUGAAGCCAUGAGAACCACAAAGGCUGAAGAUUGCACCCGCUACCCACAUCAGUCAAAUAGCACUGAUUCCAUAGCACUUCUCUCUCCUGCUGCCAUGUGAAGAAGCAUGUGUUUGCUUCCCCUUCCACCAUGAUUGUCAGUUUCCUGAAGUCUCCUCAGCCAUGUGGAACUAAUUCCCGGGCGUUUCCAAGAUGGCCAAAUAGGAACAGCUCCAGUCUAUGGCUCCCAGCAUGAGCGACACAGAAGACGGGUGAUUUCUGCAUUUCCAACUGAGAUGGAGUUUCUCUCUUGUAACCAGGCUGGAGUGCAAUGACACGAUCUCAGCUCACUGCAGUUUUCGUCUUCUGGGUUCAAGCAAUUCUCCUUCCUCAGCCCCCUAAGUAGCUGGUGGUGCCCACCACCAUGCCCAGAGGCAGAAUCACACUAUGUUGCCCAGGCUGUUCCUGUAAUGACCUCAAGUGAGCCUCCCAUCUUGUCCUCCCGAAGUGUUGAGAUUACAGGAAUGAGCUAACAUUGCAUGGCCCAAUCUUGUUUUUCUAGUUUUAAUUUAUUUCUGCUCAUUGUUAUUUUUCAUUCUUCUGCUUAUUUUGUAUUGAAUUUUCUCUUCUUUUUCUAGUUUUGUAAGGUGAAAGUUUAGAUCAUUGAUUUGAGACUUUUCUUUUUAUCAAUUAUAAGCAUUUAAUGUUCUAAAGUUCCUUAUAAGUACAUCUGUAUACCACAAAUUGGUAAGUCGUAUUUUCCGUUUCAUUUGGUUAAAUAUUUUUAACUUUCCAUUGAGGUUUCUUCUUAGAAGAAACACUUCUUAGAAGUGUUUUGUUCAAUUUACAAAUAUGUGAUGGUUUGCCAAAUUGUUUUUUGUUAUUGAUUUGUAAUUUAAUUCAGUUGUAGUUAGAGAACAUGUUUGGUAUGAUUUCAAUCCAUUUAAAUACACUGCUUGCUUGUUUUAUAGCUCAGAAUACGUUCUAUCUUGGUGCCUGAUCCAUGUACACUUACCAAAAACGUGUGUCCUGCUGUUUUUGAAAGCAGUAUUCUCCGAAGUCAGUUAGGUCAGAUUGGUUAACUGUGUUUUUCAAGUGUUUUAUCUCCUUACUAAUUUUGGUCUUGUUCAGUAAAUUACUGAAAGACA
Long non-coding RNA from Pan troglodytes (chimpanzee), 1662 nucleotides. RefSeq lists it as uncharacterized. NCBI's taxonomy places the organism in Eukaryota, Metazoa, Chordata, Mammalia, Primates, Hominidae. The transcript has 6 exons. The record is from RefSeq and is a predicted model, not a curated record.